This 106-nucleotide small nuclear RNA is filed under the name Nomascus leucogenys (northern white-cheeked gibbon). Lineage: Eukaryota; Metazoa; Chordata; Mammalia; Primates; Hylobatidae. The record is from RNAcentral.
GUUUGCUUCAGCAGUACAUAUGCUAAAAUUGGAACGAUACAGAGAAGAUUAGCAUUGGCCCCUGUGUAAGGAUGACAUGCAAAUUAGUGAAGUGUUCCAUAUUUUA